RNAcentral lists this ribosomal RNA (491 nucleotides) under uncultured bacterium. RNAcentral's name for it is "partial 16S ribosomal RNA". It matches the Rfam family "Bacterial small subunit ribosomal RNA", at positions 29 to 507 of the family's 1533-position model. The record is from RNAcentral.
AGUGAACGCUGGCGUAGGCCUAACACAUGCCAGUCGAACGGCAGCACAGUAAGAGCUUGCUCUUACGGGUGGCGAGUGGCGGACGGGUGAGGAAUACAUCGGAAUCUACUUUUUCGUGGGGGAUAACGUAGGGAAACUUACGCUAAUACCGCAUACGACCUACGGGUGAAAGCAGGGGAUCUUCGGACCUUGCGCGAUUGAAUGAGCCGAUGUCGGAUUAGCUAGUUGGCGGGGUAAAGGCCCACCAAGGCGACGAUCCGUAGCUGGUCUGAGAGGAUGAUCAGCCACACUGGAACUGAGACACGGUCCAGACUCCUACGGGAGGCAGCAGUGGGGAAUAUUGGACAAUGGGCGCAAGCCUGAUCCAGCCAUACCGCGUGGGUGAAGAAGGCCUUCGGGUUGUAAAGCCCUUUUGUUGGGAAAGAAAAGCAGCAGGUUAAUACCCCGCUGUUCUGACGGUACCCAAAGAAUAAGCACCGGCUAACUUCGUG